This is a long non-coding RNA of Prunus avium (sweet cherry), 586 nucleotides long. RefSeq lists it as uncharacterized. The record is from RefSeq and is a predicted model, not a curated record. Lineage: Eukaryota; Viridiplantae; Streptophyta; Magnoliopsida; Rosales; Rosaceae.
CAAUAAGGCAUGGAAAACUUUAAACCGUGCCUAAAGCUCUCCGUGUUUACACGUUUCUUUUCUUUUUUCUCAUUGUCACUCUCACUCCUCUCUCUCUCUCUCUCUCUCUCUCUCUCAACUCUCGAUCCACCUCCUCCCUUCUCACUCAAUCUCUCUAUUUCACUCAGAUCCUCCUCUCUUGCUCUCUCCAAUCUCACUACAUCUGGGAUGAGUCCAACCAAUGGUUUGAUUUUUUUUGGGAUUUUUGGAUAUGAUCUUGUUUGAUUUGGUUUGGGUAUUUCUUAUGGCAAGGACAUUGAAUUUCAGUUUGUAGGCUAUUUUGAUAUCUUGAGAAAGUUGAAUUUUGGUGUUUUCUCGGAUGUGGGUUGCCUCUUUGCUCUGCCUUCCUCUCAUCUGAAUGUUGGGUAUGCAAAUGAAGAAGAUGUGGGGAAUAGGAAGAAGAAAGCAUAUUUGGAGAUUGGAAGAUGCUAUUGUCAGGAGGGACUUUAUUGCAAAUUGUGUGGGUUGUAAUGCAAAUUAGUAAAAUACAGAGAUACUCAGAGUUGUACAAAAGAAUUAUUGUAACAAAAUUUAUUUGUUUUUGGUA